AAGUCGUAACAAGGUAUCCGUAGGUGAACCUGCGGAAGGAUCAUUAACACGUGCAAACGUAUUAAUAUCACCUUUCUUACAACCCGUGAAUCAAACCCCUACCUAAGGGCAUAGUGUUGGUUGAAUAUGAUAGUAGUAGGAUAUGUCUCGGCAUAUGUAAUCAUAUUCAAUCUGAGGAUUCGAACCUGCAGAUGCUAUGUUUCUUAGGCUUUUUUCUUUUUUCCCCUACUACAAAAAACCAAAACAAACCAAUUUCACCUAUUAAAACCAUAUUGACUGAUGUACGUUGAAUGUCAAGAAAUUGACUGGUUCAACACCAUUUAUCUUAAACUAAGCACAACUCUUAGCAAUGGAUAUCUUGGUUCUC
Molecule: unclassified non-coding RNA, 367 nt
Filed under: fungal sp.
Lineage: Eukaryota; Fungi
Description: partial internal transcribed spacer region
Rfam family: Eukaryotic small subunit ribosomal RNA (bases 1-46)
Source: RNAcentral